AGGGACCUAUGCUCAGAGGCAGAAAAUGACAAUUAUAAAGGAAAACAGAAAAGGAAGUGGAAGUGAAAAAAGAGAGACGAUUGUAAAGCCCAUGCCUGUGACUCCAGAGGACUUUCUGGAAGCUACUGGAAUCAUUUUGCCCACGUGGAAGUACCUGGGAGUUUAGGUUUCCCCCAUCCAGUGAUUAGCUGUUAGCCAACGUCCCAUAGUGCAAGAAUAUGAAAGUCUUGACUGGGGAAGAGGGGACAACUCUGAGGGGUUACUUACACUCCAGAGGUCCUCCGUGGGAUCAGGCUGAAGCUACCCUUCCGAGGACUUUGCCUGAAAUCUGGCCGUUGUUUGGUUCCCUUUCCUACUUGUCUCAUUAAUGACGAAGUUUCUCCUGAAAGCACUUCCUUACUAAAUCACUGGCUCAUGAAUACCCUAUCAGGACCAGCUUUUGGCGAAUCCAUCUUAAGACAAUGGUGUUUCUCCAAGUGAUAACUGCAUCAGAAUCACCUGGAAGCUUAUGAAAAAUGUUAAAAAUGUUGAUUCCUGGGCCCCACCCAAGACAUACUGAACCUGAAUCUCCUGGAACAUGUUGCAGGGAUGUGUAUUUUUAUGAGCUCCACAAGUAAGUCUAGUACACCUAAAAAUUAAGAACCACUGUUCUGACACUGGCUGCUGAAUAAGCUCUCUGGAAACAAGGAUCCAGGGCUGAUUUCAUCACUAGGUUGGAGAAGGCAUAAGAAAUGCAAAAGAGCACUCCAGGGAGCAGAAGAGGACCUGACUACAAAUGUGUUUCCUUCCCCAUUUCUUCUGGUGCUAGUCCUGUAAACCUCUGUCUAAAGAUUCAUUUUGUGUGGUAUAUAUACAUACAUAUGUAUACACACACAGUGGAAUAUUAUUCAGCCAUAAAAAAUGAAAUCAAUUCUUUUGCAGCAACAUGUAUGGAACUGGAAGCCAUUGUCUUACGUGAAAAACUCAGAAACAGUCAAAUACUGCAUGUUCUCACUUAUAACGCAGAGCUAAACAAUGUGUGAAUAUGGACAUGGCAUAUGGAAUAAUAGACAUUGGAGACUCAGAAGGGUGAGAGGGGUUCAGGGAUGAGAAAUUACUUAAUGAGUACAAUGUGCAUUGUUCAGGUGAUGGUUAUGCUACAAGCCCAGACUUCGCCACUAUGCAAUGUAUCUGUGUAACAAAUUGUACUAGUACCAUACAAAUAAAAAUGAUUCAUUUUGCCCUC
Cebus imitator (Panamanian white-faced capuchin) is the source of this 1225-nucleotide long non-coding RNA. RefSeq lists it as uncharacterized. The record is from RefSeq and is a predicted model, not a curated record. The transcript has 2 exons. Lineage: Eukaryota; Metazoa; Chordata; Mammalia; Primates; Cebidae.